This is a long non-coding RNA of Limulus polyphemus (Atlantic horseshoe crab), 450 nucleotides long. RefSeq lists it as uncharacterized. Lineage: Eukaryota; Metazoa; Arthropoda; Merostomata; Xiphosura; Limulidae. The record is from RefSeq and is a predicted model, not a curated record. The transcript is spliced from 2 exons.
GAUAAUUAGGGUAGAGUGAAGCUGGUAUGCAAGAUGCAUACUCCUCAUACAUUGAAAUAGAUGUAGAGAGUGAAGUGAACCUUGUAUGCAAGAUGCACACUCCUCAUACACUAAAGUAAAUAUUGAGAGUAGAGUGAAUUUGGUACGUAAGAUGCAUACUCCUCAUACACUGAAAUAUAUACAGAGAGUAUACUAAAGUUGGUAUGCAAGACACACUCCUCAUACACUGAAGUACAUAAAUAGAGUAGAAUGAACCUUGUAUGCAAGAUGCACACUCCUCAUACACUAAAGUAGAUAUUGAGAGUAGAGUGAAGCUGGUAUACAAGAUGCACACUACUGACACAUUGAAAGUAAAGUGAAGCUGGUAUACAAGAUGCACACUACUCACACAUUGAAGUAGAUAUAGAGAGUAAAGUGAGGCUGGUAUACAAGAUGCACACUACUCACACA